GACGAACGCUGGCGGCGUGCUUAACACAUGCAAGUCGAACGGAAAGGCCCUGCUUGCCGGGUACUCGAGUGGCGAACGGGUGAGUAACACGUGGGUGAUCUGCCCUGCACUUCGGGAUAAGCCUGGGAAACUGGGUCUAAUACCGGAUAGGAGCCAUUUUUAGUGUGAUGGUUGGAAAGUUUUUCGGUGUAGGAUGAGCUCGCGGCCUAUCAGCUUGUUGGUGGGGUAAUGGCCUACCAAGGCGGCGACGGGUAGCCGGCCUGAGAGGGUGGACGGCCACAUUGGGACUGAGAUACGGCCCAGACUCCUACGGGAGGCAGCAGUGGGGAAUAUUGCACAAUGGGCGCAAGCCUGAUGCAGCGACGCCGCGUGGGGGAUGACGGCCUUCGGGUUGUAAACUCCUUUCGCUAGGGACGAAGCUUUUUGUGACGGUACCUAGAUAAGAAGCACCGGCUAACUACGUG
This 464-nucleotide ribosomal RNA is filed under the name uncultured bacterium. Its description in RNAcentral is "partial 16S ribosomal RNA". It matches the Rfam family "Bacterial small subunit ribosomal RNA", at positions 28 to 507 of the family's 1533-position model. The record is from RNAcentral.